CUUGAGUCAAAUAAGAGGUCCAGCCUGCCCAGUGAAAUUAUUCAACGGCCGCGGUAUCCUAACCGUGCGAAGGUAGCGUAAUCACUUGUUCUUUAAAUGAGGACUAGUAUGAAUGGCUCCACGAGGGUUUUACUGUCUCCUUUCUCAAAUCAGUGAAACUAAUCUUCCCGUGAAGAAGCGGGAAUCCUUUUAUAAGACGAGAAGACCCUAUGGAGCUUUAAACAAACAACAUUUGCUAAACCACAAUACUAAUUAACAGGAAGUAUAGCAUUAUGAUCUUUAGUUUUAGAUUGGGGUGAUCACGGAGUAAAAUUUAACCUCCAUGCCGAAAGGGUUUACGCCCUGAGCAAAAAGCUACAGCUUAAAGCACUAAAAAAUUAACGUAGUUUGACCCAAUAUGUUGAUCAACGAAU
RNAcentral lists this ribosomal RNA (413 nucleotides) under Boana wavrini group sp. ABGD cluster 106. RNAcentral describes it as "partial large subunit ribosomal RNA". It matches the Rfam family "Bacterial large subunit ribosomal RNA", at positions 1832 to 2457 of the family's 2925-position model. Lineage: Eukaryota; Metazoa; Chordata; Amphibia; Anura; Hylidae. The record is from RNAcentral.